AUCUUCUUCCUUCUCUUCCUUUCGGCCCCCGGUGCCUCCUCGAGAUGAGACUUUAGAGCGAGAACCUCGAUCGGAGGGCUUCUUGAAGAAGCUCGGAGGACUGCGGGCUCGACGUCAGAGGGGGCAUCAACGAUAAUGGCUGCCUGGGCAAGCACGGUCGAGCUUGUCUCCUCUACCCUCGCCUUCUUCGCCGACCCAGAAGUUAUAGCACUUUUCCUCUUGUGAGCCUUGAGACCCUUGGCUAGUACCUGAGCUGCGUCUGCAUCCAUGUCUGCAAUGAAAAAAGAUCGGCACAGCUUAGAAACAGAAU
Molecule: long non-coding RNA, 310 nt
Filed under: Elaeis guineensis (African oil palm)
Lineage: Eukaryota; Viridiplantae; Streptophyta; Magnoliopsida; Arecales; Arecaceae
Description: long non-coding RNA (EGUI_LNC030178)
Source: RNAcentral